RNAcentral lists this ribosomal RNA (1521 nucleotides) under Escherichia coli. Its description in RNAcentral is "bacterial SSU rRNA". It matches the Rfam family "Bacterial small subunit ribosomal RNA". The record is from RNAcentral. RNAcentral also lists the same sequence under 3 other names. Lineage: Bacteria; Pseudomonadati; Pseudomonadota; Gammaproteobacteria; Enterobacterales; Enterobacteriaceae.
AGAGUUUGAUCAUGGCUCAGAUUGAACGCUGGCGGCAGGCCUAACACAUGCAAGUCGAACGGUAACAGGAAGAAGCUUGCUUCUUUGCUGACGAGUGGCGGACGGGUGAGUAAUGUCUGGGAAACUGCCUGAUGGAGGGGGAUAACUACUGGAAACGGUAGCUAAUACCGCAUAACGUCGCAAGACCAAAGAGGGGGACCUUCGGGCCUCUUGCCAUCGGAUGUGCCCAGAUGGGAUUAGCUUGUUGGUGGGGUAACGGCUCACCAAGGCGACGAUCCCUAGCUGGUCUGAGAGGAUGACCAGCCACACUGGAACUGAGACACGGUCCAGACUCCUACGGGAGGCAGCAGUGGGGAAUAUUGCACAAUGGGCGCAAGCCUGAUGCAGCCAUGCCGCGUGUAUGAAGAAGGCCUUCGGGUUGUAAAGUACUUUCAGCGGGGAGGAAGGGAGUAAAGUUAAUACCUUUGCUCAUUGACGUUACCCGCAGAAGAAGCACCGGCUAACUCCGUGCCAGCAGCCGCGGUAAUACGGAGGGUGCAAGCGUUAAUCGGAAUUACUGGGCGUAAAGCGCACGCAGGCGGUUUGUUAAGUCAGAUGUGAAAUCCCCGGGCUCAACCUGGGAACUGCAUCUGAUACUGGCAAGCUUGAGUCUCGUAGAGGGGGUAGAAUUCCAGGUGUAGCGGUGAAAUGCGUAGAGAUCUGGAGGAAUACCGGUGGCGAAGGCGGCCCCCUGGACGAAGACUGACGCUCAGGUGCGAAAGCGUGGGGAGCAAACAGGAUUAGAUACCCUGGUAGUCCACGCCGUAAACGAUGUCGACUUGGAGGUUGUGCCCUUGAGGCGUGGCUUCCGGAGCUAACGCGUUAAGUCGACCGCCUGGGGAGUACGGCCGCAAGGUUAAAACUCAAAUGAAUUGACGGGGGCCCGCACAAGCGGUGGAGCAUGUGGUUUAAUUCGAUGCAACGCGAAGAACCUUACCUGGUCUUGACAUCCACAGAACUUUCCAGAGAUGGAUUGGUGCCUUCGGGAACUGUGAGACAGGUGCUGCAUGGCUGUCGUCAGCUCGUGUUGUGAAAUGUUGGGUUAAGUCCCGCAACGAGCGCAACCCUUAUCCUUUGUUGCCAGCGGUCCGGCCGGGAACUCAAAGGAGACUGCCAGUGAUAAACUGGAGGAAGGUGGGGAUGACGUCAAGUCAUCAUGGCCCUUACGACCAGGGCUACACACGUGCUACAAUGGCGCAUACAAAGAGAAGCGACCUCGCGAGAGCAAGCGGACCUCAUAAAGUGCGUCGUAGUCCGGAUUGGAGUCUGCAACUCGACUCCAUGAAGUCGGAAUCGCUAGUAAUCGUGGAUCAGAAUGCCACGGUGAAUACGUUCCCGGGCCUUGUACACACCGCCCGUCACACCAUGGGAGUGGGUUGCAAAAGAAGUAGGUAGCUUAACCUUCGGGAGGGCGCUUACCACUUUGUGAUUCAUGACUGGGGUGAAGUCGUAACAAGGUAACCGUAGGGGAACCUGCGGUUG